UUCCGGUUGAUCCUGCCGGAGGCCAUUGCUAUCGGAGUCCGACUUAGCCAUGCUAGUCGUACGAGUUUGUACUCGUGGCAUAUAGCUCAGUAACACGUGGCCAAACUACCCUAUGGACAGAGAUACUCUCGGGAAACUGAGGUUAAUCUCUGAUACAGCUUCCACGCUGGAAUUGCAGGAAGCUGGAAACGCUCCGGCGCCAUAGGAUGUGGCUGCGGCCGAUUAGGUAGACGGUGGGGUAACGGCCCACCGUGCCAGUAAUCGGUACGGGUGAUGAGAGUCAGAGCCCGGAGACGGUAUCUGAGACAAGAUACCGGGCCCUACGGGGCGCAGCAGGCGCGAAACCUUUACACUGCACGACAGUGCGAUAGGGGGACUCCGAGUGCGAGGGCAUAUAGUCCUCGCUUUUCUGUACCGUAAGGUGGUACAGGAACAAGUGCUGGGCAAGACCGGUGCCAGCCGCCGCGGU
This 469-nucleotide ribosomal RNA is filed under the name uncultured archaeon. Its description in RNAcentral is "bacterial SSU rRNA". It matches the Rfam family "Archaeal small subunit ribosomal RNA", at positions 1 to 471 of the family's 1478-position model. The record is from RNAcentral.